This 1368-nucleotide ribosomal RNA is filed under the name uncultured bacterium. Its description in RNAcentral is "16S ribosomal RNA". It matches the Rfam family "Bacterial small subunit ribosomal RNA", at positions 91 to 1421 of the family's 1533-position model. The record is from RNAcentral.
GAUAGCGGCAAAAGGGUGAGUAACACGUGGGCAAUCUGCCUUUAAGUCAAGCAUAGCUUCGUGAAAACGGAGGUAAUUCUUGACAGUAUUUUAACAUCGCAUGAUGUUUAAAUUAAAGAUGGGGACCGUAAGGCCUGUCGCUUAGAGAUGAGCUCGCGUCCUAUCAGCUUGUUGGUGGGGUAAUGGCCAACCAAGGCAUUUGACGGGUAGCUGGUCUGAGAGGAUGGUCAGCCACACUGGGACUGAGACACUGCCCAGACUCCUACGGGAGGCUGCAGUCGAGAAUAUUUAGCAAUGGGCGAAAGCCUGACUAUGCGACGCCGCGUGAGGGAUGAAGGUUUUCGGAUCGUAAACCUCUUUUGUUAGGAAAGAAUAUUCCGUAGUUAAUAGCUACGGAACUGACGGUACCUAACGAAUAAGCCACGGCCAACUCCGUGCCAGCAGCCGCGGUAAUACGGAGGUGGCAAGCGUUACUCGGAAUCAUUGGGUGUAAAGGGCAAGUAGGCGGUUUGAUGUGUGAGAGGUGAAAUCUCCCGACUCAAUCGGGAAACGGCCUUUCAAACUAUUAAACUUGAGAGUGGUAGAGGAAAGCGGAAUUCUCGGUGUAAGGGUGAAAUCUGUGGAUAUCGAGAAGAACAUCAACUGCGAAGGCAGCUUUCUGGGCCAUUUCUGACGCUGAAUUGCGAAAGCUAGGGGAGCAAACAGAAUUAGAUACUCUGGUAGUCCUAGCCGCAAACGAUGAGCACUAGGUGUCGGUCCCUUACGGGAUCGGUGCCGCAGCUAACGCAUUAAGUGCUCCACCUGAGGACUACGGUCGCAAGGCUAAAACUCAAAGGAAUUGACGGGGACCCGCACAAGCGGUGGAACAUGUGGUUCAAUUCGAAGCUACGCGAAAAACCUCACCAAGGCUCGACAUGUAAGAAGUAGUGAACCGAAAGGGGAACGACCUGUCAAAUCAGGAGCUUACACAGGUGCUGCGUGGCUGUCGUCAGCUCGUGUCGUGAGGUGUUGGGUUAAGUCCCGCAACGAGCGCAACCAUUAUCUUUAGUUGCAACCAUUUUAGCCUUCGGGCUUAGAGUGAGCACUUUAAAGAGACUGCCUGGGUUAACCAGGAGGAAGGCGGAGAUGACGUCAAGUCAGUACGGCCUUUAUGCCUUGGGCUACACACGUGUUACAAUGGCCGGUACAAAGGGUUGCCAACCCGCGAGGGGGAGCUAAUCUCAGAAAAUCGGCCCCAGUUCGGAUUGAAGUCUGAAAUUCGACUUCAUGAAGCCGGAAUCGCUAGUAAUGGUAGAUCAGCACGCUACCGUGAAUACGUUCCCGGGUCUUGUACACACCGCCCGUCAAGCGAUGGAAGUUGGUGGUACC